GUCCACGCCCUAAACGAUGUCUACUAGUUGUUGGGGGAGUUAAAUCCCUUAGUAACGCAGCUAACGCGCGAAGUAGACCGCCUGGGGAGUACGGUCGCAAGAUUAAAACUCAAAGGAAUUGACGGGGGCCCGCACAAGCGGUGGAUGAUGUGGUUUAAUUCGACGCAACGCGAAAAACCUUACCUACCCUUGACAUGUGAGGAACCCUGCAGAGAUGCAGGGGUGCCCGAAAGGGAACCUCAACACAGGUGCUGCAUGGCUGUCGU
RNAcentral lists this ribosomal RNA (266 nucleotides) under uncultured bacterium. RNAcentral describes it as "partial 16S ribosomal RNA". It matches the Rfam family "Bacterial small subunit ribosomal RNA", at positions 793 to 1055 of the family's 1533-position model. The record is from RNAcentral.